RNAcentral lists this ribosomal RNA (252 nucleotides) under uncultured bacterium. Its description in RNAcentral is "partial 16S ribosomal RNA". It matches the Rfam family "Bacterial small subunit ribosomal RNA", at positions 524 to 776 of the family's 1533-position model. The record is from RNAcentral.
UACGGGGGGGGCAAGCGUUGUUCGGAAUUACUGGGCGUAAGGGCUCGUAGGUGGCCAACUAAGUCACACGUGAAAUCCCUCGGCUUAACCGGGGAACUGCGUGUGAUACUGGAUGGCUUGAGUUUGGGAGAGGGAUGCGGAAUUCCAGGUGUAGCGGUGAAAUGCGUAGAUAUCUGGAGGAACACCGGUGGCGAAGGCGGCAUCCUGGACCAAUACUGACGCUGAGGAGCGAAAGCCAGGGGAGCAAACGGG